GUGAAUCAUCAAAUCUUUGAACGCAAAUUGCGCCUUUUUCGGAAGGCAUGUCUGUUUGAGGGCACCAUUUAACAAAUAAUGUGCAUUUCGUGUGCACACGUUGAUGAGCUUUCCAAAUUUAUGUAUUAUUUUUGGUGGCGCAUAAUAAACAGCGCGAUGCUUUUUUUCAGUUCGAGUGUAGUAAAAUUUUUUUUCGGCGCUUGGGUUGUUGGAAAGUGUGCGCAAUGGGUGUGGCGAUUCUACUAACCCUGCCCCAACGCCACUCUUUCUCGCGAAAGAAUAUUAAUCUUCAGGGCCUCAA
This 301-nucleotide unclassified non-coding RNA is filed under the name Paraglomus occultum. RNAcentral describes it as "partial contains 5.8S ribosomal RNA and internal transcribed spacer 2". The stretch from base 1 to 65 matches the Rfam family "5.8S ribosomal RNA", at positions 84 to 154 of the family's 154-position model. Lineage: Eukaryota; Fungi; Glomeromycota; Glomeromycetes; Paraglomerales; Paraglomeraceae. The record is from RNAcentral.